RNAcentral lists this transfer RNA (76 nucleotides) under Pseudomonas sp. RNAcentral describes it as "tRNA-Gly". It matches the Rfam family "tRNA". From Rfam's summary of the family: Transfer RNA (tRNA) molecules are approximately 80 nucleotides in length. Lineage: Bacteria; Pseudomonadati; Pseudomonadota; Gammaproteobacteria; Pseudomonadales; Pseudomonadaceae. The record is from RNAcentral.
GCGGGAAUAGCUCAGUUGGUAGGUCACGACCUUGCCAAGGUCGGAGUCGCAAGUUCGAGUCUCGUUUCCCGCUCCA